This 405-nucleotide ribosomal RNA is filed under the name Triticum aestivum (bread wheat). RNAcentral describes it as "partial small subunit ribosomal RNA". Lineage: Eukaryota; Viridiplantae; Streptophyta; Magnoliopsida; Poales; Poaceae. The record is from RNAcentral.
AUGGGGGGAAGCAGCCACCGCCGCUCUGCGACACCGCAGUACGAGUUGGAUGCUUCCAAGUUCUUCAGUAUCAUACUUGGGACUUCAGUAUCAUCCAUGACGCAGAGGCCGCCUGACAGUUUUAUGAACAUGCUGGGUGAAGAUCCGCCAAAUAAUGUGAAGCCGCGACAGGCCGGCAGCGGGUUUCGCAGGCAGUGGGAUGUGGAGUUGUUGAUCAAGGAGGGCCACAUGUACUUGUCUCGUGGGUGGGAGAAGUUCUACCGUGCCUACGACCUGCGGCUGGGGUACUUCCUUCUCUUCAGGUACGACGACGACGCCACCAUGCUCAUCGUGAAGGUGUUCAACGCGACUAUGUGUCGCAUGCGCUACGCUGAUCCGGACUGGAGUGCGGGAGAAGAGGAGUAG